Molecule: ribosomal RNA, 450 nt
Filed under: uncultured Glomeromycotina
Lineage: Eukaryota; Fungi; Glomeromycota
Description: SSU rRNA
Rfam family: Eukaryotic small subunit ribosomal RNA
Source: RNAcentral
AGCAGCCGCGGUAAUUCCAGCUCCAAUAGCGUAUAUUAAAGUUGUUGCAGUUAAAAGCUCGUAGUUGAAUUUCGGGGUCAGCAGGUUGGUCGUGCCGAUGGUAUGCACUGGCCUUGCUGAUUCCUCCCUCUUGAUGAGCCGUAAUGUCAUUAAUUUGGUGUUGCGGGGAAUCAGGACUGUUACUUUGAAAAAAUUAGAGUGUUUAAAGCAGGCAAGCGCUUGAAUACAUUAGCAUGGAAUAAUGAAAUAGGACGUUUGAUCCUAUUUUGUUGGUUUCUAGGAUUGACGUAAUGAUUAAUAGGGAUAGUUGGGGGCAUUAGUAUUCAAUUGUCAGAGGUGAAAUUCUUGGAUUUAUUGAAGACUAACUACUGCGAAAGCAUUUGCCAAGGAUGUUUUCAUUAAUCAAGAACGAAAGUUAGGGGAUCGAAGACGAUCAGAUACCGUCGUAGU